This 699-nucleotide long non-coding RNA is filed under the name Marmota monax (woodchuck). Lineage: Eukaryota; Metazoa; Chordata; Mammalia; Rodentia; Sciuridae. The record is from RNAcentral.
AUGUUACACUUAAUAGGACUACAAGAUCUCAUUGCAAAAUUGAAAAUGAAAUAGGAUCAAAUUCAUCAGAUAAUCUAAAAAUAAACUAUGUAUCUCCAAAAAUGGUUGAAAUGCAAAGCUCACUUUUACCUUUCAAGACCCUACAAAACGCUUGUACAUCAAGGUCAGAAAGCAAGAUUGAUUUAACUAAUAGUUCAUCUGGUACUUCAGAACACAUCACCAGACAACAUAAAAACUUAAAUACCAUAAAGAAAAGAAAUAUGAGUUUUAGUGUUGCUGAAACAAAAAGUGAUGAGAACAAACAUGCUUCUUUUGCACCUUGUGAUCAAAGAAAUAUAGAUGAUACCUUUGCAGAAGAUCACGACACAACAGAUCCUACACAGAAAUCCUGUCUUUCAAACAUAAAUCCAGGAACUGAUGACUGUCUUGUGCCUAAUGCAACAAUGUUCUCAAAGCCCGUUUUCCAUUUUUUGAGAGAGAUCCAUACCAAUCUAGAAAUGAAUGACACAGUCCUUGAAUGUCAAGAUAAUGAAAUGUUAAAUUCAUCUAUUAAAAAUUCUACAUGCAUCAGUUCUCCAGAACCCACAUGUAUCCAGGGCAAAGUUUCUAUUCUGCAAGAAAAUAAAAAACAUCCUGCAAAAACUGAGUCAGAGGAAAAAUAUAUGAAGAAUACAUUGAAGCCCAGUAUGAUACCCUUUG